GUAGUUGUGGCUGAGUGGUUAUGGUGAUGGGUUAAAAAUCCAUUGGGGUCCCCCCACCCCCACAGGUUCAAAUCCUGUCAACUACA
Molecule: non-coding RNA, 86 nt
Organism: Gopherus flavomarginatus (Mexican gopher tortoise)
Lineage: Eukaryota; Metazoa; Chordata; Testudines; Testudinidae
Source: the annotation of a RefSeq genome assembly